AAAGCUUAUUAUCUAUUUCUGAAACUUUUGCAAACACCACCUUAGUGUGAUAUUAUCUAUUUCUGAAACUUUUCGACUAAUCAUCUCUUAAACCUUUUAAAUACGUACCAGUUUAAUCUUUUCACUUUUAUUUAGUUGCCUUCUGCGUGCUGAUUUAAUGUCUGAUAUCAAAUGUGUUGAAACAGGUGAGGAGGAUAAUGGAAGGAAAUCGACGAAUGGGAA
This 222-nucleotide long non-coding RNA is filed under the name Erythranthe guttata (spotted monkey flower). Its description in RNAcentral is "long non-coding RNA (EGUT_LNC000068)". The record is from RNAcentral. Lineage: Eukaryota; Viridiplantae; Streptophyta; Magnoliopsida; Lamiales; Phrymaceae.